RNAcentral lists this transfer RNA (65 nucleotides) under Echinoderes svetlanae. Its description in RNAcentral is "tRNA-Glu". The record is from RNAcentral. Lineage: Eukaryota; Metazoa; Kinorhyncha; Cyclorhagida; Echinoderidae.
GGAAAUAUAGUCUAAUUAAAAGAUAUGAAAUUUUCAUUUUUAAGAUAUAAUAUUAAUUAUUUUUU